CCCUUAGAUGUUCGGGGCCGCACGCGCGCUACACUGAUGGGGACAGCGUGUUUGCCAUUCCUGGUCCGGCAGGAUUGGGCAAUCCGUUGAACCCCCGUCGUGAUUGGGAUCGGAGCUUGUAACUAUUCUCCGUAAACGAGGAAUUCCCAGUAAGCGCAAGUCAUCAGCUUGCGUUGAUUACGUCCCUGCCCUUUGUACACACCGCCCGUCGCUCCUACCGAUUGAAUGAUCCGAUGAAUAUCAUGGAUUGAGGAUGCAAGCAGGUUCGCCUGUCUUCAUCUUCGAGAAGUGAAGUAAAUCUUAUCAUUUAGAGGAAGGAGAAGUCGUAACA
This 331-nucleotide ribosomal RNA is filed under the name uncultured eukaryote. Its description in RNAcentral is "partial 18S ribosomal RNA". It matches the Rfam family "Eukaryotic small subunit ribosomal RNA", at positions 1470 to 1796 of the family's 1831-position model. The record is from RNAcentral.